AUUAGAGCUCCGGAUAGAGCGGAUUACACCAGACCUGGUGCUGCCGCUACUGCUACAGGAGGGGGCGGGGCCUCGGCCCGGUCAGCUGACUCUGCGGAUGACGUCACAGCCCAGGCUAUUACCUUCCCAGACAGGACGUUCCAGGACGUUCCAGCGCUGUACACCACAGGAGUGAGGAGUCACCAUUAGAGGACAGCAGUGCCACCUACAGUGUAUCACAACCACCAAGCUGUCUGUGUCUCACAUGAGAAUCGUAAAAAUUCUUGUAAGAAGCUUUAAAUGGCGCGCUGUCGCCCCCUGUGGACGUACUGCUAAGAAGAGCGGCGAAGGGAGACGACAACUGCUGUGGGAUUAUAUAGGAUGAUGGACGCGAAGAUUACUGGUGACCUCCGCAGAGCGUAAUGAAUGUGAACAUUACCGCUGUCACAUCCGUGAUUACUGGUGUCAGAAACGUGUGUGGAUUUUGUAUCGUUCUAUCAUGGAUGGUUAACACCUUCAUUGCUGCAGGGAAUUCUCACCAGGAUGCAAUUGGAUAUUUACCGAAAAACAUGGUUUAUAAAAAAGACCACUUGGGGUCCCCAUACCAUUCAGAACAUAAUCCUGCCCAGCUGCAGCAUUAACUUUGUCCCAGCUGAAUGGGCAUGGACAAAGUCCAGGAAGUGAGGGCCUGACUAGCUCUCCUCUGUGCUCACUCCUGUCCUAUUAGACUGCAGCAUGAAAACUGAGAGGAGGGGGUUACAGAGCAGCCUGCAGUGAUUGGAUGAAGAGACCCAGCACAGCAGGGAGGCAGAUGAGUCAUGCAGAGUGAGGACUCGCCCCCUCUGAAGCACAGAAUGACAAACCAAGUAAGCAACAGAUAGAAGGUAUUUGUGAGAGAAAUAUAG
Long non-coding RNA from Hyla sarda, 884 nucleotides. RefSeq lists it as uncharacterized. Lineage: Eukaryota; Metazoa; Chordata; Amphibia; Anura; Hylidae. The transcript is spliced from 6 exons. The record is from RefSeq and is a predicted model, not a curated record.